UCCCCUUCGUCUAGAGG
RNAcentral lists this transfer RNA (17 nucleotides) under Proteus vulgaris. RNAcentral describes it as "partial transfer RNA". Lineage: Bacteria; Pseudomonadati; Pseudomonadota; Gammaproteobacteria; Enterobacterales; Morganellaceae. The record is from RNAcentral.